GGACUACCGGGGUAUCUAAUCCUGUUUGCUCCCCACGCUUUCGCGUCUCAGCGUCAGUUACUGUCCAGGUCGCCGCCUUCGCCACCGGUGUUCCUCCCGAUAUCUACGAAUUUCACCUCUACUUCGGGAAUUCCGCGACCCUCUCCAGCACUCAAGCAAAGCAGUUUCGGGCGCACUUCCUCAGUUGAGCUGAGGGCUUUCACACCCGACUUGCCAAGCCGCCUACACGCGCUUUACGCCCAAUAAUUCCGAACAACGCUUGCACCCUCUGUAUUACCGCGGCGGCUGGCAC
This 292-nucleotide ribosomal RNA is filed under the name uncultured bacterium. Its description in RNAcentral is "partial 16S ribosomal RNA". The record is from RNAcentral.